This 95-nucleotide non-coding RNA is filed under the name uncultured Anaerotignum sp. RNAcentral's name for it is "THF riboswitch". It matches the Rfam family "THF (Tetrahydrofolate) riboswitch aptamer". From Rfam's summary of the family: THF riboswitch presents a pseudoknot that joins P1-P2 and the loop of P3 and two THF binding. The record is from RNAcentral. Lineage: Bacteria; Bacillati; Bacillota; Clostridia; Lachnospirales; Anaerotignaceae.
CAGAGUAGGGCUUUGUGCGUUAAGUGUCUUGUGAACGGGGAGUUGUCACAGGAACGAAAAGCAUAGCUUGCGAUACAAAACCCGCAUCCCGCUGU